UACGGAGGGAGCUAGCGUUGUUCGGAAAUACUGGGCGUAAAGCGCACGUAGGCGGCGUCGCAAGUCAGGGGUGAAAUCCCGGGGCUCAACCCCGGAACUGCCCUUGAAACUGCAAUGCUAGAAUAUUGGAGAGGCAAGUGGAAUUCCGAGUGUAGAGGUGAAAUUCGUAGAUAUUCGGAAGAACACCAGUGGCGAAGGCGACUUGCUGGACAAUUAUUGACGCUGAGGUGCGAAAGCGUGGGGAGCAAACAGG
This 253-nucleotide ribosomal RNA is filed under the name uncultured bacterium. RNAcentral describes it as "partial 16S ribosomal RNA". It matches the Rfam family "Bacterial small subunit ribosomal RNA", at positions 524 to 776 of the family's 1533-position model. RNAcentral also lists the same sequence under 1 other name. The record is from RNAcentral.